ACUCCUACGGGAGGCAGCAGUGGGGAAUUUUGGACAAUGGGGGAAACCCUGAUCCAGCCAUCCCGCGUGUGCGAUGAAGGCCUUCGGGUUGUAAAGCACUUUUGGCAGGAAAGAAACGUCAUGGGCUAAUACCCCGUGAAACUGACGGUAC
This 151-nucleotide ribosomal RNA is filed under the name uncultured bacterium. RNAcentral's name for it is "partial 16S ribosomal RNA". It matches the Rfam family "Bacterial small subunit ribosomal RNA", at positions 335 to 478 of the family's 1533-position model. The record is from RNAcentral.